Molecule: long non-coding RNA, 520 nt
Organism: Mobula hypostoma (lesser devil ray)
Lineage: Eukaryota; Metazoa; Chordata; Chondrichthyes; Myliobatiformes; Myliobatidae
Exons: 3
Source: RefSeq, a predicted model, not a curated record
GCAAGUAACAUGACUCAUUCUAAAUGUGCUAAUAAAGGCUAUUCCAAAGUACAUGUGACACAUUUCAAUGGUAUAAAACAACACUGAUUUGACAAUACACUAAACUAAAUUAAUAAAGAAAUCAGUCAUGGCUAAGACAACUGAACAUCACCUUAGCUAAUCACGUACAGUGGAUUCUGGUUAAUUGGGCCAUUGGUUAAUCGGGGCAGCUGCUCAUUUGGGACAACUCUUAAAGAGCAGGAAUCAACUGAGAAAAAGUACUGGGCUAUACACUGAGUGACUCAGAGGGAAGAUUAAAUCCAAGGACAUGCUGUAGAGUCAGUGAUCUGCACUGAUGCAUCCCACAGUUACUUCCACUGAGAUAAUGGAAUUACACAUUUCAUGGAUUCAGAAAACAGACAAUCAGCCUGCUGGGAGUCAAGCAGCACCUCUUGGGGGCGUGGGUUGGUUAAGAAUUGUUGAUAUUUUGAGUCAAAAUUGGAUAAACAGGACAUUUAGCUAAUCCUUUGUGAUAGUUUGC